UGCGCUGCGGCGCGAGCUGGGCCGGCGGGUGUGGUUCGAGAGCGCGCGGAGUCCAGACUGGCGGCAGGGCCCGAGGGGCCGACCCGCAGCGUCCCUGGUCUCUCCAGCCCUCACUCGGAACCGCACACAGUGACAAUACCCUCCCCUCCCUUGGGCUGGACCCCUCUCUACAGCUAGGAGCCAAUGGCAGAAGACAAAACCAAACCGAGUGAGUUGGACCAAGGGAAGUAUGAUGCUGAUGACAACGUGAAGAUCAUCUGCCUGGGAGACAGCGCAGUGGGCAAAUCCAAACUCAUGGAGAGAUUUCUCAUGGAUGGCUUUCAGCCACAGCAGCUGUCCACGUACGCCCUGACCCUGUACAAGCACACAGCCAUGGUAGAUGGCAAGACCAUCCUUGUGGGUCUGUCCGUGUUCACACUGCAGACUUUUGGGACACGGCAGGCCAGGAGCGGUUCCAGAGCAUGCAUGCCUCCUACUACCACAAGGCCCACGCCUGCAUCAUGGUACGAGAUGGUGGGGAGGUGGACAAAGGCACUGGGCAAGUCUGGCCUGAGAGGUGAGGGGCCUAGCAGCCCUGGGCCCUUGUAACCAAGUCUGGGUGUUGUGGGAGGGGGGCUUAGGGUCACCCGGGGAUGUUUCAAACCACACCUGCUCCCCAGAGCUUCUUAGUGAGAAGGUGCCAGGUGAGCUCUCUGUAGGCGGGGAUGGGUGGAGAAAAGGUGGAACAGCAAGCUCAGGGCUUCAACAUCAGGUGUAGCAUCCAAGAGGCAAACAUAUGCCUGAAACAGGGCCACAGUCCCUCUGACGGACCUAACCUGUCAGACAAGCUCCCAAGGCCUCCCUCCACUGUUGCCUGCUGCUUUUCCCUAGGGGGCACAUGCUGGGACU
This 888-nucleotide small RNA is filed under the name Pan troglodytes (chimpanzee). Its description in RNAcentral is "retained intron". Lineage: Eukaryota; Metazoa; Chordata; Mammalia; Primates; Hominidae. The record is from RNAcentral.